This 947-nucleotide ribosomal RNA is filed under the name uncultured Psychrobacter sp. RNAcentral's name for it is "bacterial SSU rRNA". It matches the Rfam family "Bacterial small subunit ribosomal RNA", at positions 69 to 1013 of the family's 1533-position model. Lineage: Bacteria; Pseudomonadati; Pseudomonadota; Gammaproteobacteria; Moraxellales; Moraxellaceae. The record is from RNAcentral.
CGAUGAUAGCUUGCUAUCAGGCGUCGAGCGGCGGACGGGUGAGUAAUACUUAGGAAUCUACCUAGUAGUGGGGGAUAGCACGGGGAAACUCGUAUUAAUACCGCAUACGACCUACGGGAGAAAGGGGGCAGUUUACUGCUCUCGCUAUUAGAUGAGCCUAAGUCGGAUUAGCUAGAUGGUGGGGUAAAGGCCUACCAUGGCGACGAUCUGUAGCUGGUCUGAGAGGAUGAUCAGCCACACCGGGACUGAGACACGGCCCGGACUCCUACGGGAGGCAGCAGUGGGGAAUAUUGGACAAUGGGGGAAACCCUGAUCCAGCCAUGCCGCGUGUGUGAAGAAGGCCUUUUGGUUGUAAAGCACUUUAAGCAGUGAAGAAGACUCCGUGGUUAAUACCCACGGACGAUGACAUUAGCUGCAGAAUAAGCACCGGCUAACUCUGUGCCAGCAGCCGCGGUAAUACAGAGGGUGCAAGCGUUAAUCGGAAUUACUGGGCGUAAAGGGAGCGUAGGUGGCUCGAUAAGUCAGAUGUGAAAUCCCCGGGCUCAACCUGGGAACUGCAUCUGAUACUGUUGAGCUAGAGUAUGUGAGAGGAAGGUAGAAUUCCAGGUGUAGCGGUGAAAUGCGUAGAGAUCUGGAGGAAUACCGAUGGCGAAGGCAGCCUUCUGGCAUAAUACUGACACUGAGGCUCGAAAGCGUGGGUAGCAAACAGGAUUAGAUACCCUGGUAGUCCACGCCGUAAACGAUGUCUACUAGUCGUUGGGUCCCUUGAGGACUUAGUGACGCAGCUAACGCAAUAAGUAGACCGCCUGGGGAGUACGGCCGCAAGGUUAAAACUCAAAUGAAUUGACGGGGGCCCGCACAAGCGGUGGAGCAUGUGGUUUAAUUCGAUGCAACGCGAAGAACCUUACCUGGUCUUGACAUAUCUAGAAUCCUGCAGAGAUGCGGGA